Molecule: long non-coding RNA, 410 nt
Filed under: Physcomitrium patens
Lineage: Eukaryota; Viridiplantae; Streptophyta; Bryopsida; Funariales; Funariaceae
Description: long non-coding RNA (PPAT_LNC001991)
Source: RNAcentral
GUAACAAUACUCCUUCAUCAACUAAUAACAAUAGUGUGCAACCCUGCACUCUCAAAAGACCGCUCAAAAUACAAUAAUUUCCAUCCAACACUAGAAAUAACAGACUUCACUCCAAUCAAUCUGAAUUCACAUAAUUUCCAUAAUCACAGACUUCCUUUGUCCAAAACACACAUAGCUUUCAAUAAACAACAAUCAUAAUCCUCUAAUAACUCCUCAUACAAUUCAAUCACUCAGUGCUCUAAUUAUAUAAUCAAUAACUUAUAAAUCAAUCUCUGAUUUAUUCUACAGACUCACUUCUCAGUAUUCAGAAACUAUCCAUUACUUUUCAACAACAAAGAAAACAAAGAAACAAAGAAACAAAGAGACAAAGAGGUAGGACCAAGCUUACCCCCGCUCAUAACUAUCACAGU